Molecule: long non-coding RNA, 495 nt
Filed under: Vulpes vulpes (red fox)
Lineage: Eukaryota; Metazoa; Chordata; Mammalia; Carnivora; Canidae
Description: lncRNA (ENSVVUG00000019548.1)
Source: RNAcentral
CCAGCCCGAGGCGCACGCCGAGCCCCGGCCAGCCGCGCUGCGCGUCCUCGGGCCUCGGGGGCGGCUGCACCCCAAAUGCCCCCUCGCCGUCCCACGGGGCCACCAACUAUCCUAGCGGGCGAGGAAGAGGCGGCGGGAAAAGGAGAGGAAGGAGGGCGCGAGCGGCGGCGGGCGCGAGAAGGCAGGACCCACGCCCGCCCGGAGCAUCACGUACCUUCAGCUCCUCGAUGUCCAGCCAGCGCUAAGGGGAUUUCUCUCAUCUGUCAAAAAGCAACAUUUCCUCUCCAGACGGAUACGGUGCUGCUGGGUCUUAAAGACUGCCCUCUGCCCAGAAUCCAUUUUGGGCAACAAAGAAUGGGACUCCAAGCUGACUGCUAACAGCCUGAGCAUGAGACAAAUCCACUGAAUGUUCUGAAUUCACUCUUCCUCUCCUCAUUACUGAGAGCCAGGUAAGUCACUCUCAGAUUGGAGCUCUGUUCCCUCCCAUGCAGCUCU